UUGGAGGGCAGUCUGGUGCCAGCAGCCGCGGUAAUUCCAGCUCCAAUAGCGUAUAUUAAAGUUGCUGCAGUUAAAAAGCUCGUAGUUGAAUUUCGGGAUCAAUGUUUCGGUCAUGCCGUUGGUAUGUACUGAUAUUAUUGAUCUCUCACCUUCUAAAGAACCGUAAUGCCAUUAAUUUGGUGUCACGGGGAAUUAGGACUGUUACCUUGAAAAAAUUAGAGUGUUUAAAGCAGGCUCACGCUUGAAUACAUUAGCAUGGAAUAAUGAAAUAGGACAUCCGAUUCUAUUUUGUUGGUUUCUAGGAUCGAUGUAAUGAUUAAUAGGGAUAGUUGGGGGCAUUAGUAUUCAAUUGUCAGAGGUGAAAUUCUUGGAUUUAUUGAAGACUAACUACUGCGAAAGCAUUUGCCAAGGAUGUUUUCAUUAAUCAAGAACGAGAGUUAGGGGAUCGAAGACGAUCAGAUACCGUCGUAGUCUUAACCAUAAACUAUGCCGACUAGGGAUCGGAUGAUGUUAAUUUUUUAAUGACUCAUUCGGCGCCUUACGGGAAAC
RNAcentral lists this ribosomal RNA (549 nucleotides) under uncultured Glomeromycotina. RNAcentral's name for it is "SSU rRNA". It matches the Rfam family "Eukaryotic small subunit ribosomal RNA", at positions 548 to 1098 of the family's 1831-position model. The record is from RNAcentral. Lineage: Eukaryota; Fungi; Glomeromycota.